UGAGGAAUAUUGCACAAUGGGCGCAAGCCUGAUGCAGCAACGCCGCGUGAGGGACGAAGGCCUUCGGGUCGUAAACCUCUUUUCUGGGGGACGAGUAAGGACGGUACCCCAGGAAUAAGUCUCGGCUAACUACGUGCCAGCAGCCGCGGUAAAACGUAGGAGGCGAGCGUUAUCCGGAUUUACUGGGCGUAAAGCGUACGCAGGUGGCUUCGUUAGUCGGACAUGAAAGCUCCUGGCUUAACUGGGAGAGGUUGUUCGAUACUGCGGGGCGUGAGGCGGGGAGAGGGACGUGGAAUUCCCGGUGGAGUGGUGGAAGGCGUAGAUAUCGGGAGGAACAACAGUGGCGCAAGCGGCGUCCUGGCCCACACCUGACGCUGAGGUACGAAAGCGUGGGUAGCAAACAG
Molecule: ribosomal RNA, 404 nt
Filed under: uncultured bacterium
Lineage: Bacteria
Description: bacterial SSU rRNA
Rfam family: Bacterial small subunit ribosomal RNA
Source: RNAcentral